Molecule: transfer RNA, 72 nt
Filed under: Marmota monax (woodchuck)
Lineage: Eukaryota; Metazoa; Chordata; Mammalia; Rodentia; Sciuridae
Rfam family: tRNA
About the family: Transfer RNA (tRNA) molecules are approximately 80 nucleotides in length. Their secondary structure includes four short double-helical elements and three loops (D, anti-codon, and T loops). Further hydrogen bonds mediate the characteristic L-shaped molecular structure. tRNAs have two regions of fundamental functional importance: the anti-codon, which is responsible for specific mRNA codon recognition, and the 3' end, to which the tRNAs corresponding amino acid is attached (by aminoacyl-tRNA synthetases). tRNAs cope with the degeneracy of the genetic code in two manners: having more than one tRNA (with a specific anti-codon) for a particular amino acid; and 'wobble' base-pairing, i.e. permitting non-standard base-pairing at the 3rd anti-codon position.
Source: Rfam by way of RNAcentral
UGGGGUGUGGUUUAGUGGUGGAACAUGUGCCUAGCAUGCACGAGACCCUGGGUUUGACCCCCAGCACUGCAA